AGGCGCAUGGUAUAGUUAGUUAUCACUUUUGCUUUGCAUCCAUGAUAAAUUGGGGCCUGUGCGACAGGUGUUGGGUUCAAUUCCCAUGUGUCCA
Molecule: non-coding RNA, 94 nt
Organism: Crucibulum laeve
Lineage: Eukaryota; Fungi; Basidiomycota; Agaricomycetes; Agaricales; Nidulariaceae
Source: the annotation of a GenBank genome assembly